This 923-nucleotide ribosomal RNA is filed under the name Escherichia coli. RNAcentral's name for it is "partial 23S ribosomal RNA". It matches the Rfam family "Bacterial large subunit ribosomal RNA", at positions 312 to 1239 of the family's 2925-position model. Lineage: Bacteria; Pseudomonadati; Pseudomonadota; Gammaproteobacteria; Enterobacterales; Enterobacteriaceae. The record is from RNAcentral.
CUGAAUCAGUGUGUGUGUUAGUGGAAGCGUCUGGAAAGGCGCGCGAUACAGGGUGACAGCCCCGUACACAAAAAUGCACAUGCUGUGAGCUCGAUGAGUAGGGCGGGACACGUGGUAUCCUGUCUGAAUAUGGGGGGACCAUCCUCCAAGGCUAAAUACUCCUGACUGACCGAUAGUGAACCAGUACCGUGAGGGAAAGGCGAAAAGAACCCCGGCGAGGGGAGUGAAAAAGAACCUGAAACCGUGUACGUACAAGCAGUGGGAGCACGCUUCGGCGUGUGACUGCGUACCUUUUGUAUAAUGGGUCAGCGACUUAUAUUCUGUAGCAAGGUUAACCGAAUAGGGGAGCCGAAGGGAAACCGAGUCUUAACUGGGCGUUAAGUUGCAGGGUAUAGACCCGAAACCCGGUGAUCUAGCCAUGGGCAGGUUGAAGGUUGGGUAACACUAACUGGAGGACCGAACCGACUAAUGUUGAAAAAUUAGCGGAUGACUUGUGGCUGGGGGUGAAAGGCCAAUCAAACCGGGAGAUAGCUGGUUCUCCCCGAAAGCUAUUUAGGUAGCGCCUCGUGAAUUCAUCUCCGGGGGUAGAGCACUGUUUCGGCAAGGGGGUCAUCCCGACUUACCAACCCGAUGCAAACUGCGAAUACCGGAGAAUGUUAUCACGGGAGACACACGGCGGGUGCUAACGUCCGUCGUGAAGAGGGAAACAACCCAGACCGCCAGCUAAGGUCCCAAAGUCAUGGUUAAGUGGGAAACGAUGUGGGAAGGCCCAGACAGCCAGGAUGUUGGCUUAGAAGCAGCCAUCAUUUAAAGAAAGCGUAAUAGCUCACUGGUCGAGUCGGCCUGCGCGGAAGAUGUAACGGGGCUAAACCAUGCACCGAAGCUGCGGCAGCGACACUAUGUGUUGUUGGGUAGGGGAGCGU